AAUCACAUUACAGUUGUUCCCAACCAUAUGUAUUUUUGUGUUAUUUAGUUUUAAAUGAUUGUGUGUUAGUAAUUUUCGGGUUUCAGGACUGAUGCUUAAAAUUGAAUUUUUACAACGCGUUUUUGUUUUUAAAAGUAAGAAGAAAUUAUGUCAAUUUAACGUGUUUUACAUAGGAGAAAUUGCGGCGGGGAUACUUCACCGUCCAUAGCACUUUGUCUUCAUGUCCACCUCGUGAUAUGUAUCAAAAUUAAAUUUAUAACCAAAUAUUUAUAAUAUGACGUCAAGAAACAAAAAAGAACUAUCAUCCAUUUAGCACAUGAUCAAAAAGAUUUGUGUUCACAGAUAUUUUAUUUGAUAUUGAUAUGAACAGAAAAGAGUUGUUACGUUUCUAAUACAAAAUAUAGUGCAUUUCUAAUUCUAAAAAGGGGAAUUGGAGUCUUUAUACAUAAGAAAAGGAAAAAUUAACUCCAUACCCAUAACAUCACUUUGGCUACUAUAUGUUAUAUAUUGUUGUAUAAAGUACCAAAAGCGCGUGUAAACAUCAACGAGUAUUAUUAUCUUGCAAAUUGAAAAAUUGUUUCUACUUUACAAACUCUUGCAUACAGCGAAGAAGGAAGAUUUGAAGAGGGUGCGUGCUUUCGGUCGUGCGGUAUAAGUAGGAUAUUGAGAGUUAGGGUUUCAGUGGUUUUUUUCAAUUUUACGGCGGCACAAUUGAGUUUCCAAACCCAACAAAUCAAGGUGUCUGGUUUGUUGGGUUGGAGAUAGUGAAAACAGACGAUGGAUUGAAUUGGGGAAGAUGAACAGUAACGUUGUGCAAUGUACUCUAUUCUAUUUUAUAAUUACAGUAUACUAUGUUACAAUUCUUCUCCUCCUCUUCGGUAAAGUGUAUCUCCUUUGCCUUAUGAUUCUUCUCCUUCACUACUCCAUCAGCUUUGUUGUCUUAUCCUUCAGUAUUGUCGCUAAUAUAUAGCUUUCACCUUAUUUAUAUAUUGAGUGGUAAUGUGUAUUUGCGUUUUGAAAUUUUAUGCUUUAUAAAUGGUAUUAUUUUGCUAUUGUGUUGAAUGAAUGCUCUAAGUUAAUGGAGAUUCACAUACAUGUUUGUAUUGACAGUUUAUAUAGCUUUCAUACAUCUUUGAAUAAACAUUACAUUAUAGUAUACUAAUCUAUUCAUCAAAAUAGUAUAGUUUCCUCUUAUGUCGCUUUCACUCUUACACUCCCUCCUACUCUUUCUCUCCUCCCCUCCCUCCCCCGAUCUCUCUUUGUAUUGACAGUUUAUAUAGCUUUCAUACAAUCUUUGAAUAAACAUUACAUUAUAGUAUAUUAAUCUAUUCAUCAAAAUAGUAUAGUUUCCUCUUAUGUCGCUUUCACUCUUACACUCCCUCCUACUCUUUCUCUCCUCCCCUCCCUCCCCCGAUCUCUCUUUGUCUUUCUCUCCAUUCCUCCUUCCUUUCCUCCAUACUUCUAUCUUUCCUCCUUCCUCCUCCUCCCCUUCUGUUCCUCACCUAUCCAUUUUUCUCCUUUUCCCAAUCAUCAAUAUAGUAACUAUCAUCAAUUACCAUACUAUUCUAAAUGAAAUAUAGUAUAUUUUAGACCUUCAAGGUUAGGGUUUAGGUAGCUCCGUUAUGGGCGAUGGUUUGGUUUUACAAUUUGGGUUUAGGGUUUAGGUUAAGGGUUUACGGUUUGGGUUUAGUGUUUAGAGUUUCGGUUUAGGGGGUUUUGGAUUUAAGGUUUGGGUUUAGGGUCUACGGUUUGGGUUUAGACCUUCAAGGUUAGGGUUUAGAUAGUUCCGUUAUGGACGAUGGUUUGGUUUUACAAUUUGGGUUUAGAAUUUGGAUUUAGGGGGUUUAGGGUUUAAGUAGCUCCGUUUGAGUCUAUGGUUUGGGUUAAGAAUUUGUGUUUAGGGUUUGGGUUUAUGGUUUACAGUUUUGGUUUAGGGUUUAGGUAGCUCCGUUAUGGUUUACGGUUUGAGUUAAGAAGUUGGGUUUAGGGUUUGGGUUUAAGGUUUAAGGGUUAUCUUUUGAGACUAUAUUACAUUUUAUAUAGUAUAGUAUAGCAUGUGCAUUGAAAUCAUUUGCACGCACGCGCUUCGGAGGUUAUUACGGGUAAUUUUAGGUGAACUUGUCACAUCGAUGAGUUUUUACUGUAGAAUGGCUAUAUUCUUCAUUUUAGUGCUCCUUAUGAAUAUUCAGCAAAUUGUCCCUUCUAAAAAUAGCCUAUUCUAAAAGCUCCAUAUUAACGUAUGAUAUGUAGUAUACGAGAAGUUAUAAAUUUUUAGCAUUAUGUAUGUAACAACCAUGAAUUUUAUCCGCCACUGAGGAGAUAACUAAGGUUCUGACUGGUUCAAACGCAGCGGUUGCGGCUGCGGUUGUGAGAGUUUGCGAAUGCGGGUGGUUGCGGUUUCUAACGGUUUUAAGAGAUUUGUACGACUGGUUCCGCGGUUAAAAAUUGGAGCGUUUGCGGGAUAUUUAUGACUGGUUAAUUACACAUACAGCUGCGGUUAAAUAAUAAAUUAACAAUACUUACAUUUUAU
Brassica rapa (field mustard) is the source of this 2530-nucleotide long non-coding RNA. RefSeq lists it as uncharacterized. NCBI's taxonomy places the organism in Eukaryota, Viridiplantae, Streptophyta, Magnoliopsida, Brassicales, Brassicaceae. The record is from RefSeq and is a predicted model, not a curated record.